This 439-nucleotide ribosomal RNA is filed under the name uncultured bacterium. Its description in RNAcentral is "partial 16S ribosomal RNA". It matches the Rfam family "Bacterial small subunit ribosomal RNA", at positions 339 to 795 of the family's 1533-position model. The record is from RNAcentral.
CUACGGGCGGCACCAGUGGGGAAUAUUGGGCAAUGGGCGAAAGCCUGACCCAGCAACGCCGCGUGAAGGAAGAAGGUUUUCGGAUCGUAAACUUCUAUCCCAGGUGAAGAUAAUGACGGUAGCCUGGAAGGAAGCCCCGGCUAACUACGUGCCAGCAGCCGCGGUAAUACGUAGGGGGCAAGCGUUGUCCGGAAUGAUUGGGCGUAAAGGGCGCGUAGGCGGCCUUCUAAGUCCGAUGUGAAAGUCCUGCUUUUAAGGUGGGAAUUGCAUUGGAAACUGGAGGGCUUGAGUGCAGGAGAGGUAAGUGGAAUUCCCGGUGUAGCGGUGAAAUGCGUAGAGAUCGGGAGGAACACCAGUGGCGAAGGCGACUUACUGGACUGUAACUGACGCUGAGGCGCGAAAGUGUGGGGAGCAAACAGGAUUAGAUACCCGAGUAGUC